Molecule: ribosomal RNA, 394 nt
Filed under: uncultured bacterium
Lineage: Bacteria
Description: bacterial SSU rRNA
Rfam family: Bacterial small subunit ribosomal RNA
Source: RNAcentral
AGUGAACGCUGGCGGCAGGCCUAACACAUGCAAGUCGAACGGCAGCACGGCAGUAGCAAUACUGUGGGUGGCGAGUGGCGGACGGGUGAGGAAUACAUCGGGAUCUACCCUGUUGUGGGGGAUAACGUAGGGAAACUUACGCUAAUACCGCAUAAGAACUGAGGUUGAAAGCGGCGGACCGCAAGGCGUCGCGCGAUUGGAUGAACCGAUGUCCGAUUAGCUAGUUGCGGGGUAAAGGCCCACCAAGGCGACGAUCGGUAGCUGGUCUGAGAGGACGACCAGCCACACUGGAACUGAGACACGGUCCAGACUCCUACGGAGGCAGCAGUGGGGAAUAUUGGACAAUGGGCGCAAGCCUGAUCCAGCCAUGCCGCGUGGGUGAAGAAGGCCUCGG